UAUUGGAGGGCAAGUCUAGUGCCAGCAGCCGCGGUAAUUCUAGCUCCAAUAGCGUAUAUUAAAGUUGUUGCGGUUAAAAAGCUCGUAGUUGGAUCUCAGUUCCAGACGGGUGGUCCGCCUACCGGUGGUUACUGCCUGUUCUGAACAGCCAGCCGGUUUCUCUUGAUGAUCUUCACCGGUUGUCUUGGGUGACCGGCAAGUUUACUUUGAAAAAAUUAGAGUGCUCAAAGCAGGCGUGACGCCUGAAUAAUGGUGCAUGGAAUAAUGGAAUAGGACCUCGGUUCUAUUUUGUUGGUUUUCGGAACACGAGGUAAUGAUUAAGAGGGACAGACGGGGGCAUUCGUAUUGCGACGCUAGAGGUGAAAUUCUUGGACCGUCGCAAGACGAACUACUGCGAAAGCAUUUGCCAAGAAUGUUUCCAUUAAUCAAGAACGAAAGUUAGAGGUUCGAAGGCGAUCAGAUACCGCCCUAGUUCUAACCAUAAACGAUGCCAGCCAGCGAUCCGGCUGUGUUCCUCAAAUGACACGCCGGGCAGCUUCCGGGAAACCAAAGCUUUUGGGUUCCGGGGGAAGUAUGGUUGCAAAGCUGAAACUUAAAGGAAUUGACGGAGGGGCACCACCAGGAAUGGAGCCUGCGGCUUAAUUUGACUCAACACGGGAAAACUUACCCGGCCCGGACGCAGGAAGGAUUGACAGAUUAAGAGCUCUUUCUUGAUUCUGCGGGGUGUGGUGCAUGGCCGUUCUUAGUUGGUGGAUCGAUUUGUCUGGUUAAUUCCGUUAACGAACGAGACUCUAGCCUACUAAAUAGACGCUCCGAUCAUCUAWGUCGGACGUCCUUCUUAGAGGGACAAGCGGCGUCUAGCCGCACGAGACAGAGCAAUAACA
This 884-nucleotide ribosomal RNA is filed under the name Ambohima sublima. RNAcentral describes it as "SSU rRNA". It matches the Rfam family "Eukaryotic small subunit ribosomal RNA", at positions 548 to 1477 of the family's 1831-position model. Lineage: Eukaryota; Metazoa; Arthropoda; Arachnida; Araneae; Phyxelididae. The record is from RNAcentral.